Molecule: ribosomal RNA, 26 nt
Filed under: Synechococcus sp. SN0807
Lineage: Bacteria; Bacillati; Cyanobacteriota; Cyanophyceae; Synechococcales; Synechococcaceae
Description: partial 23S ribosomal RNA
Source: RNAcentral
GGUCAAGCUACAAAGACUAGUGUUUU